GACGAACGCUGGCGGCGUGCCUAAUACAUGCAAGUCGAACGCAGUGGGGACUGGUGAGUAACACGUGGGUAACCUCCCAUCAGAGGGGAUAACACUUUGAAACAGGUUCUAAACCUAAAUUGAUGGUUGGACCUGCGGUGCAUUCGCUAGAUGGUGAGGUAACGGCUCAGCAAGGCCACGAUGCAUAGGCGAACUGAGAGGGUGAUCGGCCACGCGGGGGCUAGGACACGGACCAACCUCCGACGGGAGGCAGCAGUAGGGAAUCUUCGGCAGUGAGCAGAAGUCUAACCGAGCAAAGCCGCGUGAGUGAGGAGGAUUUUCGGAUCGUAAAACACUAUUGUUAGAGAAGCGGUAUCUGACCAGAAAGCCACGGCUAACUACGUGCCAGCAGCCGCGGUAAUAC
This 403-nucleotide ribosomal RNA is filed under the name uncultured bacterium. RNAcentral's name for it is "partial 16S ribosomal RNA". It matches the Rfam family "Bacterial small subunit ribosomal RNA", at positions 28 to 526 of the family's 1533-position model. The record is from RNAcentral.